This 322-nucleotide ribosomal RNA is filed under the name uncultured soil bacterium. RNAcentral's name for it is "bacterial SSU rRNA". It matches the Rfam family "Bacterial small subunit ribosomal RNA", at positions 26 to 361 of the family's 1533-position model. The record is from RNAcentral.
AGAUUGAACGCUGGCGGCAUGCCUAACACAUGCAAGUCGAACGGGAGUAGCAAUACUCUAGUGGCGGACGGGUGAGGAAUACGUAGGAAUUUGCCCUUAAGUGGGGGAUAACCCGGGGAAACCCGGAUUAAUACCGCAUGACCUCGAAAGAGCAAAGUGGGGGAUCGCAAGACCUCACGCUUUUGGAGAAGCCUACGUCGGAUUAGCUAGUUGGUGAGGUAAUGGCUCACCAAGGCGACGAUCCGUAACUGGUCUGAGAGGAUGAUCAGUCACGACCGGAACUGAGACACGGUCCGACUCCUACGGGAGCAGCAGGUGGGAA